CUGUAUGUUUUUUAAACAGAAAUUAAUCUGCACGGGGCUCAAGUGAAAAAAAAACGCCACGCUUGCGCAAGGUCAGUUUACUUACUACAGGUAAUGGGUACUAUGUAGCCCGGCUAAUUUCCCAGUGUUGGGAAA
Molecule: small RNA, 135 nt
Filed under: Pseudomonas sp. 8AS
Lineage: Bacteria; Pseudomonadati; Pseudomonadota; Gammaproteobacteria; Pseudomonadales; Pseudomonadaceae
Description: Pseudomonas sRNA P14
Rfam family: Pseudomonas sRNA P14
Source: Rfam by way of RNAcentral